GAUGAACGCUAGCGGCAGGCUUAAUACAUGCAAGUCGAGGGGCAGCAUGAGGUAGCAAUACUUUGAUGGCGACCGGCAAACGGGUGCGGAACACGUACACAACCUUCCUUUAAGUGGGGAAUAGCCCAGAGAAAUUUGGAUUAAUACCCCGUAACACAACGAAGUGGCAUCACUUUGUUGUUAUAGUUUCGGCGCUUAAUGAUGGGUGUGCGUAUGAUUAGAUAGUUGGCGAGGUAACGGCUCACCAAGUCUACGAUCAUUAGCUGAUGUGAGAGCAUGAUCAGCCACACGGGCACUGAGACACGGGCCCGACUCCUACGGGAGGCAGCAGUAAGGAAUAUUGGUCAAUGGACGCAAGUCUGAACCAGCCAUGCCGCGUGAAGGAUUAAGGUCCUCUGGAUUGUAAACUUCUUUUAUAUGGGACGAAAAAAGGUCUUUCUAGACCCCUUGACGGUACCAUAUGAAUAAGCACCGGCUAACUCCGUG
This 486-nucleotide ribosomal RNA is filed under the name uncultured bacterium. Its description in RNAcentral is "partial 16S ribosomal RNA". It matches the Rfam family "Bacterial small subunit ribosomal RNA", at positions 28 to 507 of the family's 1533-position model. The record is from RNAcentral.